RNAcentral lists this ribosomal RNA (346 nucleotides) under uncultured bacterium. Its description in RNAcentral is "bacterial SSU rRNA". It matches the Rfam family "Bacterial small subunit ribosomal RNA", at positions 28 to 372 of the family's 1533-position model. The record is from RNAcentral.
GACGAACGCUGGCGGCGUGCUUAAUACAUGCAAGUCAACUGAGCUUAAGAUAGCAAUAUUUUAAGUGCGGUGGCGCACGGGUGAGUAACACGUAGGUAAUCUGCCUUUAGGUCUGACAUAAUCCCGCGAAAGCGGGACUAAAAUCAGAUGAUGCAGCGGCUCGACAUCGAGACAGUUGUUAAACCUUCGGGGCCUAAAGAUGAGCCUGCGUCUGAUUAGGAGUUGGCGGAGUAAAAGCCCACCAAGCCUGCGAUCAGUAGCUGGUCUGAGAGGAUGAUCAGCCACACUGGAACUGAGACACGGUCCAGACUCCUACGGGAGGCAGCAGUAAGGAAUAUUGCUCAAU